UAGGGAAUCUUCCACAAUGGACGAAAGUACUGAUGGAGCAACGCCGCGUGAGUGAAGAAGGGUUUCGGCUCGUAAAACUCUGUUGUUAAAGAAGAACAUAUCUGAGAGUAACUGUUCAGGUAUUGACGGUAUUUAACCAGAAAGCCACGGCUAACUACGUGCCA
This 164-nucleotide ribosomal RNA is filed under the name uncultured bacterium. RNAcentral's name for it is "partial 16S ribosomal RNA". It matches the Rfam family "Bacterial small subunit ribosomal RNA", at positions 355 to 510 of the family's 1533-position model. The record is from RNAcentral.